Molecule: long non-coding RNA, 280 nt
Filed under: Salmo trutta (river trout)
Lineage: Eukaryota; Metazoa; Chordata; Actinopteri; Salmoniformes; Salmonidae
Description: lncRNA (ENSSTUG00000015843.1)
Source: RNAcentral
AGACUAUACCUGUGCCCUCCAGACAGACAUCCUACUGCAGGGACGCCUCUACCUGUCAGAGAACUGGCUCUGUUUCUAUAGCAACAUGUUUCGGGGGACAAAGCAGGUCAUUUCACAGGGAACUGUCAGAGGCGCUCUCGUAUUGUUACAUCACAAACAUGUCGAGAAUGAAGGUUCCAACAUGGCAGCUGUUCAAAAAGGGCAGAACUCUCUUUUAUAUAUGGCUCUGGUUGUAGAUAGCCUUGACUCUGGAAGUCAUCACUAUGCUCUCUGGUUAUAG